UGACGACCCUGCCUAGUGCCCACCCUCGUUCCCAUGCUUCCCCAGACAUUGUCUCCAUUGGACACCAUAGCGACACCGUGACAUUCGGGGGUUGUUACCCAAUUUCAAAAGUAGGGCUCAGAGGUGGAGGGAUUUUUCUGCUCACCAUGCACAGCCUCUAAACAGGAACCAGGUAAUGUCCAGGUGUGAUUGUGACCCUUCCCUGUCAAAGUCACAUGGAGUGCCGGUCAGAAAGCACAGUCCCAGGCUGACCCACCCGGAGAACCGGGUCUGUGGGCCGGUCAGGAACCGGCAUCUGAGUGCUUUUCUGGUGAUUCUGUGUGCACAGCAUUGAGGAAUCCUGAGAUUAAAUCCUAGUUUACAGAAUUUCCAGUCUUCCACAUGAGCUAAAUGACGUGUCCUGUUUUUCAAAGAGGAGAAGGCUUUUGUGGAAAUAACAGUUAAAGGGAGAGUGAGACAUGCACCACGUUUACUCCGCAGCUUUCCUAACUCAGCCAGCAUCUGCGCCCGGCCAGUGUGUACCAGGCAGGGAUGGUGGCUCCCAGUGUGCUCGCUGAUCAGUCUUGGCUUAACCACCCAUCACACAAGCUAAAUGCAGCUGCUCGGCAGUCUCCAAAGCUCUGGGACUGUGGCAAGGUUUACCAGCGGGAUUUCAGUCUUUCCUAAGACAACCUUGUGUGGGCGUGGCCCUGGAAAGAGUGACCCUGGGACUCUGGCCCUGCUCUCAGGAGCCACACCGCCCAGUGCCUGGGGAGGAGCCACGGCCUUCCCCCUAGAGGCGCUUCCUCGAGUAGCUGGAGGGCAUUUCCACCUUGAGGCGGCUCCCAGGGGAGAAGGUGAGCUCCUCUGAGCAGCGCAGGUGAAUGCUGCCUGGGCAGCCCCAGAUGACACUGUCCGAGGGCAAAGAACCCCCUCCUUAGCGGGGUUCAUGUGGGGAGGGGUGUUGAUUUUGUCUUCCGUCUGUCUCUGAACAGAUGGGCAUUUAUUUCGCUCAGUUAGUGAAGCAGGUACUCUGUUCAUAAGGACUCUGGAAAAGGCUUCAACUUAGAAAAGCAACAUCAGAUGUUUCAAGGCUGGGGAGGAAAGCGGUGCUGCAAGGAUGCUGGUUCUUCUGUAGUUGAGCACUUCCUGUUGGUACUUAUCAAGGUGUGUGUGUGUUGCUCCCCCUCCCACGACUAACAGUGUGGAUCUCCCUGUGUGGCUGGUGUGACAAUGACGGGGACGAGGGGUCCUGCCCUUGACAUCGCCUCCUAAAGGGAAGGAGACAACAGCCAGUCUUUGCUUGCACCUUGAAUGAAGACGCUGUAGGCCUUGUGCCCCUGCGAGAGGAUGCGGCCAGGAGCCUGUGAGUGUGGUGACAAUUCCGUUCCAGCCACCUGCGUGCUCCCUGUCGCCGCAGGCGAACUCGCGAGGUGAGGGAAUGGGCACACGAACAUUACCUCAGAUUUGCCCGCAAAGCUGUGAAUUCCCACAAAGAAAGCUGCUCGGCAUGGCCGUUUUCUGUUGAUGUUGUUCGGGUCCUUUCGAAGCUCCAUGUGCAUCCUGCUCUCUACACCAUCCUGUACGCUCCCCCUGCAUCCAUGCAGCCAGAGCCACCUGCAUGGCUUCUCCGCACAGCUGCGUCAGGGCCCCCGGGCAUGACUGAGCACUAUUGAUGGUACAGUUGACGCUUGCAUUGACCUUGCUCCUCUGCUGUUCUUACAUAGCCUUUCACUAAAAGGAAAACACGUACCAUGACUCUGUGAUGCAAACAUUCUUUGGUUACCCUUUUGAAUCACUUCUCCUUCAGAGUGAACAAAUGUUUCCAGCUAAGCUAUGUGAGAACCCAAGAAAGAGGGGCUGCUUGUUUUAAGCACGUCCUUCCACUUACACACAUUUUAAAGUGUGGGAUUUCCUCCCUGUACUUCAUGAACAGAAACCUCCUCGGGAUGGUUGGUCUCCUUGCAAAGCUGUUCUCAUCCACACAGACUCCGGUAGAUGCUGGUGUCUUUAUAGGUGUCCAUGGAGUCGGUGAUGACAGGAAAGGUGAUCUAGAAGUAACUUCUGUUGCUUCCCAGAAGGCUAAUGAGCCAGUCACAUGGCAUAUUUGAUGCAUGAGUCUCCUGUGUCAUGACAGUUCACUAGAAUGUCAGUAAACAGCCCAACUACCUCAUGUGAAAUUGGCUGUGGACAAUCUGUGUCAGAUGAGACAUGUGUUAAGGUCACUUUAAUCUGGUUAGUAGAUGAGACAAAAAUGAUGUCUCUAUAAAGAAGAAACACGUUCAACCAGAUGCCAAAGGCUAUGAUGUACAUAGGUUUCCUUGGGUUAAUUUUUUUAAGUCAGUGUUUAAUUCCACCCCCAGUAUUCUUAUCUCGAAUGUUCUUGGUCUCAUAGAUUCAUGCACUUUGAAUAUCUGUCACACGCAGUCUUUGUUACCAGUUCUUGUCCUUCAACGUUUUGAUUGAGCAUCAUAAUGACAGUAGGAAACAAGUGUCAAGUGAUUUGUGGAUUUCUUAAUUUGGAUGGACCUUUACUUAGAAUAUAAUAUGUUGGAGCCUUUUUAGGACCAACCAAUGAAUGAAGAUUUCAUGUUUAGUGUUUCAUGUAAAACUCUGUCCAAGUUCUUACUCUGUCCAAGUUCUUACUCUGUAUCUUGUUGGGGGUUGGGGGAGAAGAGCAGAACAAGGGAGGGUUUUACUUUUUUUGCAAAAAUGUUUGAAAACAUCUGUCAGAUUUUAUAUUCGUUAGUUAUAAUAAAGUUAUUUUUAAAGUAUUUUA
Molecule: long non-coding RNA, 2758 nt
Organism: Myotis lucifugus (little brown bat)
Lineage: Eukaryota; Metazoa; Chordata; Mammalia; Chiroptera; Vespertilionidae
Exons: 2
Source: RefSeq, a predicted model, not a curated record